AGUGAACGCUGGCGGUAGGCCUAACACAUGCAAGUCGAACGGCAGCACAGUAAGAGCUUGCUCUUACGGGUGGCGAGUGGCGGACGGGUGAGGAAUACAUCGGAAUCUACUUUUUCGUGGGGGAUAACGUAGGGAAACUUACGCUAAUACCGCAUACGACCUACGGGUGAAAGCAGGGGAUCUUCGGACCUUGCGCGAUUGAAUGAGCCGAUGUCGGAUUAGCUAGUUGGCGGGGUAAAGGCCCACCAAGGCGACGAUCCGUAGCAGGUCUGAGAGGAUGAUCAGCCACACUGGAACUGAGACACGGUCCAGACUCCUACGGGAGGCAGCAGUGGGGAAUAUUGGACAAUGGGCGCAAGCCUGAUCCAACCAUACCGCGUGGGUGAAGAAGGCCUUCGGGUUGUAAAGCCCUUUUGUUGGGAAAGAAAAGCAGCAGGUUAAUACCCCGCUGUUCUGACGGUACCCAAAGAAUAAGCACCGGCUAACUUCGUG
RNAcentral lists this ribosomal RNA (492 nucleotides) under uncultured bacterium. RNAcentral describes it as "partial 16S ribosomal RNA". It matches the Rfam family "Bacterial small subunit ribosomal RNA", at positions 29 to 507 of the family's 1533-position model. The record is from RNAcentral.